Molecule: ribosomal RNA, 240 nt
Filed under: uncultured bacterium
Lineage: Bacteria
Description: partial 16S ribosomal RNA
Rfam family: Bacterial small subunit ribosomal RNA
Source: RNAcentral
GAUCAUGGCUCAGGAUGAACGCUAGCUACAGGCUUAACACAUGCAAGUCGAGGGGCAGCAUUUCAGUUUGCUUGCAAACUGGAGAUGGCGACCGGCGCACGGGUGAGUAACACGUAUCCAACCUGCCGAUAACUCGGGGAUAGCCUCUACGAAAGAAAGAUUAAUACCCGAUGGUAUAAUCAGACCGCAUGGUCUUAGUUAAUUAAAGUAAUUUCGGUUAUCGAGUGGGAUGCGUUCUAG